RNAcentral lists this small RNA (132 nucleotides) under Salmonella enterica. Its description in RNAcentral is "RtT sRNA". It matches the Rfam family "RtT RNA". Rfam says of the family: This family represents a bacterial cis-regulatory element known as RtT RNA. The exact function of RtT is unknown although it is thought that it may be involved in changing the cellular response in relation to amino acid starvation. Lineage: Bacteria; Pseudomonadati; Pseudomonadota; Gammaproteobacteria; Enterobacterales; Enterobacteriaceae. RNAcentral also lists the same sequence under 35 other names. The record is from RNAcentral.
AUAUCUCUCUGUACGGGAAGGAUGAGAAGCUUCGACCAAGGUUCGAUUCGAGCGUCAGCGAGAAAGCGUUGCCGCAGGCAACGACCCGAAGGGCGAAGCGCGCAGCGCUGAGUCAUCCUUCCCCCACCACCA